RNAcentral lists this ribosomal RNA (1706 nucleotides) under Salmonella enterica. RNAcentral describes it as "partial 23S ribosomal RNA". It matches the Rfam family "Bacterial large subunit ribosomal RNA", at positions 711 to 2313 of the family's 2925-position model. The record is from RNAcentral. Lineage: Bacteria; Pseudomonadati; Pseudomonadota; Gammaproteobacteria; Enterobacterales; Enterobacteriaceae. RNAcentral also lists the same sequence under 1 other name.
AGACCCGAAACCCGGUGAUCUAGCCAUGGGCAGGUUGAAGGUUGGGUAACACUAACUGGAGGACCGAACCGACUAAUGUUGAAAAAUUAGCGGAUGACCUGUGGCUGGGGGUGAAAGGCCAAUCAAACCGGGAGAUAGCUGGUUCUCCCCGAAAGCUAUUUAGGUAGCGCCUCGUGAAUUCAUCUCCGGGGGUAGAGCACUGUUUCGGCUAGGGGGCCAUCCCGGCUUACCAACCCGAUGCAAACUGCGAAUACCGGAGAAUGUUAUCACGGGAGACACACGGCGGGUGCUAACGUCCGUCGUGAAGAGGGAAACAACCCAGACCGCCAGCUAAGGUCCCAAAGUCAUGGUUAAGUGGGAAACGAUGUGGGAAGGCCCAGACAGCCAGGAUGUUGGCUUAGAAGCAGCCAUCAUUUAAAGAAAGCGUAAUAGCUCACUGGUCGAGUCGGCCUGCGCGGAAGAUGUAACGGGGCUAAACCAUGCACCGAAGCUGCGGCAGCGAACGUAUCACCCAAGACAACUUUACGGAGUUGACGAUUGACGGAGCGAAGCGACGUCAAAGCGUUCAUUAAAGUCGAGUUGGCUUAGGGAUACGUUCGUUGGGUAGGGGAGCGUUCUGUAAGCCUGUGAAGGUGUGUCGUGAGGCAUGCUGGAGGUAUCAGAAGUGCGAAUGCUGACAUAAGUAACGAUAAAGCGGGUGAAAAGCCCGCUCGCCGGAAGACCAAGGGUUCCUGUCCAACGUUAAUCGGGGCAGGGUGAGUCGACCCCUAAGGCGAGGCCGAAAGGCGUAGUCGAUGGGAAACGGGUUAAUAUUCCCGUACUUGGUGUUACUGCGAAGGGGGGACGGAGAAGGCUAUGUUGGCCGGGCGACGGUUGUCCCGGUUUAAGCGUGUAGGUGUGUGUUCCAGGUAAAUCCGGUUCACUUUAACACUGAGGCGUGACGACGAGGCACUACGGUGCUGAAGCAACAAAUGCCCUGCUUCCAGGAAAAGCCUCUAAGCAUCAGGUAACACGAAAUCGUACCCCAAACCGACACAGGUGGUCAGGUAGAGAAUACCAAGGCGCUUGAGAGAACUCGGGUGAAGGAACUAGGCAAAAUGGUGCCGUAACUUCGGGAGAAGGCACGCUGACACGUAGGUGAAGUGAUUUACUCAUGGAGCUGAAGUCAGUCGAAGAUACCAGCUGGCUGCAACUGUUUAUUAAAAACACAGCACUGUGCAAACACGAAAGUGGACGUAUACGGUGUGACGCCUGCCCGGUGCCGGAAGGUUAAUUGAUGGGGUCAGCGUAAGCGAAGCUCCUGAUCGAAGCCCCGGUAAACGGCGGCCGUAACUAUAACGGUCCUAAGGUAGCGAAAUUCCUUGUCGGGUAAGUUCCGACCUGCACGAAUGGCGUAAUGAUGGCCAGGCUGUCUCCACCCGAGACUCAGUGAAAUUGAACUCGCUGUGAAGAUGCAGUGUACCCGCGGCAAGACGGAAAGACCCCGUGAACCUUUACUAUAGCUUGACACUGAACAUUGAGCCUUGAUGUGUAGGAUAGGUGGGAGGCUUUGAAGUGUGGACGCCAGUCUGCAUGGAGCCGACCUUGAAAUACCACCCUUUAAUGUUUGAUGUUCUAACGUGGACCCGUAAUCCGGGUUGCGGACAGUGUCUGGUGGGUAGUUUGACUGGGGCGGUCUCCUCCUAAAGAGUAACGGAGGAGCACGA